This 163-nucleotide non-coding RNA is filed under the name uncultured Dysosmobacter sp. Its description in RNAcentral is "Lysine riboswitch". It matches the Rfam family "Lysine riboswitch aptamer". Rfam says of the family: Riboswitches are metabolite binding domains within certain messenger RNAs that serve as precision sensors for their corresponding targets. Allosteric rearrangement of mRNA structure is mediated by ligand binding, and this results in modulation of gene expression. This family includes riboswitches that sense lysine in a number of genes involved in lysine metabolism, including lysC. The record is from RNAcentral. Lineage: Bacteria; Bacillati; Bacillota; Clostridia; Eubacteriales; Oscillospiraceae.
UAGAUAGAGGCGCGGGUUUCAUCAGUACCCUCCGGCACGGUCAGGCAGCCGCCGGACGGGAAAGGGAAAACCGCCGAAGUUGUGAAAGACUGCCUGGUCUUUCGCUGCUGGGCCGUCGGAGAAUAUCCGCCGGACUGUCACAAAACUUUGUGAAGCGCUAUCA